RNAcentral lists this ribosomal RNA (762 nucleotides) under uncultured bacterium. RNAcentral's name for it is "bacterial SSU rRNA". It matches the Rfam family "Bacterial small subunit ribosomal RNA", at positions 8 to 796 of the family's 1533-position model. The record is from RNAcentral.
AGAGUUUGAUCCUGGCUCAGCCUGAACGCUGGCGGCGUGGUUAAGACAUGCAAGUCGCACGGGUGUAGCAAUACAUCAGUGGCGAACGGGUGAGUAAUGAAUCGCUAAUGUACCCCGGACUCUGGGAUAGCUAGCCGAAAGGUUAGGUAAUACCAGAUGACAUAUUCCUACCGCAUGGUUGGGAAUCUCAAAGGUCCGCCGGUCUGGGAGCAGGCGAUUUCGUAUCAGCUAGUUGGUGAGGUAACGGCUCACCAAGGCGACGACGCGUAGCCGGACUGAGAGGUUGGCCGGCCACAUCGGGACUGAGACACUGCCCGGACUCCUACGGGGGGCUGCAGUAACGAAUCUUCCCCAAUGCACGAAAGUGUGAGGGAGCGACGCCGCGUGUGGGACGAAGUCCUUCGGGAUGUAAACCACUGUCAGGGGAUACCAAGUUCUGAGGAUCCCCAGAGGAAGAGGCGGCUAACUCUGUGCCAGCAGCCGCGGUAAGACAGAGGCCUCAAGCGUUAGGCGGAAUCACUGGGCUUAAAGCGUGUGUAGGCGGGUCGUUAAGUACCUUGUGAAAUCCCACGGCUCACCCGUGGAACUGCUGGGUAUACUGGCGAUCUUGGGCCAACUAGGGGCAACUGGAACAAACGGUGGAGCGGUGAAAUGCGUAGAUAUCGUUUGGAACGCCAAAGGUGAAAACAGGUUGCUGGGGUUGUGCCGACGCUGAGACACGAAAGCCAGGGGAGCAAACGGGAUUAGAUACCCUAGUAGUCC